Molecule: ribosomal RNA, 250 nt
Filed under: uncultured bacterium
Lineage: Bacteria
Description: partial 16S ribosomal RNA
Rfam family: Bacterial small subunit ribosomal RNA
Source: RNAcentral
UACGGAGGGUGCAAGCGUUAUCCGGAUUUACUGGGUUUAAAGGGUGUGUAGGCGGAUAUUUAAGUCAGAGGUGAAAUCUCCGGGCUCAACCCGGAAACUGCCUUUGAUACUAUUUAUCUUGAAUUUCGUUGAGGUUGGCGGAAUAUAUCAUGUAGCGGUGAAAUGCAUAGAUAUGAUAUAGAACACCGAUUGCGUAGGCAGCUGGCUGAACGACGAUUGACGCUGAGGCACGAAAGCGUGGGUAGCGAAC